UAAUCUUGAUGAUUCAGUCGUAAGCAAUAUACCUUUAUUAAAUAAUUGUAUGGCAUAUUUAUUUAACGAAAUACGUUAUGAAUUGAACGGUAAUGAAAUUGAUCGAACGCGACAUUUGGGUGUGACAACUGAUUUGAAAAAUGACUUACCAAUAAAUCAAAAUCAACAGCUUGUAUUAAAAAAUUAUGGAUGGUCAAUUGAUGAUGAUAUAAAAAUGGAAAAAGGAAACUUUAAUUUUUGCAUACUGUUGAGCAUGGUUACUUGGAUUUGCAGAAGAUUAUAACAAGAUAUUACUCAAAGGAAAGCAUGAACUUAUUCUAUUACGAGAAAUGAAUAAUGAUGCUGCAAACAUCUCAAAAUUGAAGAUGACAUUUUCUAGCAUUGUAUGGAAAAUACCUCAUGUACAAUUGUCUGAUGCUUAUAAA
This 425-nucleotide long non-coding RNA is filed under the name Drosophila guanche. The record is from RNAcentral. Lineage: Eukaryota; Metazoa; Arthropoda; Insecta; Diptera; Drosophilidae.